AGCUUCAAUUAAAGUCUGUUAGAAGUAUUGCUAAGGUUGUUGGGACAAUUAUAUGCGUUGGAGGAGCUGUUUUCAUGGCAUUUUACAAAGGCCCAAAGCUGCUAAACACAAGCAUCCAAUUUCAUUCAUUAUCCUCAAUUUUAAGUUUGCUCAGUGAUCAGUGGAUGCUUGGUUUCAUUUACCUUACGGGAGCCACUUGUUGCGG
RNAcentral lists this unclassified non-coding RNA (205 nucleotides) under Hevea brasiliensis (rubber tree). The record is from RNAcentral. Lineage: Eukaryota; Viridiplantae; Streptophyta; Magnoliopsida; Malpighiales; Euphorbiaceae.